Molecule: microRNA, 27 nt
Filed under: Echinococcus granulosus
Lineage: Eukaryota; Metazoa; Platyhelminthes; Cestoda; Cyclophyllidea; Taeniidae
Description: egr-miR-10261-3p
Source: miRBase by way of RNAcentral
ACGGAUUUUGGCGGAGUUGGGGAGGCA